GAUGAACGCUGGCGGCGUGCCUAAUACAUGCAAGUCGAGCGAACAGACGAGGAGCUUGCUCCUCUGACGUUAGCGGCGGACGGGUGAGUAACACGUGGAUAACCUACCUAUUAGACUGGGAUAACUUCGGGAAACCGGAGCUAAUACCGGAUAAUAUAUUCAACCGCAUGGUUCAAUAGUGAAAGACGGUUUUGCUGUCACUUAUAGCUGGAUCCGCGCCGUAUUAGCUAGUUGGUAAGGUAACGGCUUACCAAGGCGACGAUGCGUAGCCGACCUGAGAGGGUGAUCGGCCACACUGGAACUGAGACACGGUCCAGACUCCUACGGGAGGCAGCAGUAGGGAAUCUUCCGCAAUGGGCGAAAGCCUGACGGAGCAACGCCGCGUGAGUGAUGAAGGUCUUCGGAUCGUAAAACUCUGUUAUUAGGGAAGAACAAAUGUGUAAGUAACUAUGCACGUCUUGACGGUACCUAAUCAGAAAGCCACGGCUAACUACGUG
Molecule: ribosomal RNA, 497 nt
Filed under: uncultured bacterium
Lineage: Bacteria
Description: partial 16S ribosomal RNA
Rfam family: Bacterial small subunit ribosomal RNA
Source: RNAcentral